UACAUUUGCAUCUUCAAUGUAAAUGCAUUGAGUACAUAAUAAUCAUUUAAAUAAUAUUGGCAUG
Tenacibaculum mesophilum is the source of this 64-nucleotide non-coding RNA. Lineage: Bacteria; Pseudomonadati; Bacteroidota; Flavobacteriia; Flavobacteriales; Flavobacteriaceae. The record is from Rfam.